GGUUUGAUCAUGGCUCAGAUUGAACGCUGGCGGGAUGCUUUACAUGCAAGUCGAACGGCACGGACUUCGGUCUGGUGGCGAGUGGCGAACGGGUGCAGAACAAUGGAACGUGCCUAGUAGCGGGGAUAAUCACGCGAAAGCGUAGCUAAUACCGCAUACCCUUCGGGGAAAGCGGGGGACCUUCUGGCCCGCACCUGAAGAUAGGGAAGCGGCCGAUAUCGAUUAGCUAGUUGCGGGGUAACGGCUCACCAAGGCGACGAUCCGUAGCUGGUUUGAGAGGACGACCAGCCACACUGGGACUGAGACACGGCCCAGACUCCUACGGGAGGCAGCAGAAUUUUGGACAAUGGGGAAACCCUGAUCCAGCCAUCCGCGUGUGCGAUGGGGUUACCUUCGCUGUAAAGCACUUGGCAGGAAAGAAACGGUACGGAUAAUACCUCAGCAACUGAUUUACCUGCAGGACAAUAACAAGCACCGGCUAACUACGUGCCGGGCAGCCGCGGUAAUACGUAGGGUGCAAGCGUUAAUCGGAAUUACUGAAGGCGUAAAGCGUGCGCAGGCGGUUCGGAAAGAAAGAUGUGAAAUCCCAGAGCUUAACUUUGGAACUACAUUUUUAACUACCGAGCUAGAGGCUGGGGAGGGAGGUGGAAUUCCGCGUGUAGCAGUGAAAUGCGUAGAUAUGCGGAGGAACACCGAUGGCGAAGGCAGCCUCCUGGGAUAACACUGACGCUCAUGCACGAAAGCGUGGGGAGCAAACAGGAUUGAUACCCUGGUAGUCCACGCCCUAAACGAUAUCAACUAGCCGUCGGGGCCUUCGUGGCCUUCGGUAGCGCAGCUAACGGGUGAAGUUGACCGCCUGGGAGUACGGUCGCAAGAUUAAACUCAAAGGAAUUGACGGGGACCCGCACAAGCGGUGGAUGAUACGCGUGGAUUAAUUGAUGAAAUUGCGCGAAAACCUUACCUACCCUUGACAUGUCUGGAAUCCCGAAGAGAUUUGGGAGUGCUCGCAAGAGAACCGGAACACAGGUGCUGCAUGGCUGUCGUCAGCUCGUGUCGUGAGAUGCUGCUGUCCAACGAGCGCAACCCUUGUUAGUUACUACGGAAAGGGCACCCUAAUGAGACUGCUACAGACAAACCGGAGGAAGGUGGGGAUGCGACGUCGGUCCUCAUGGCCUUUACGGUAGGGCUUCACACGUCAUACAAUGGGACAGAGGGUCGCUAACCCGCGAGGGGGAGCCAAUCCCAGAAACCCGGAUCGUAGUCCGGAUCGCAGUCUGCAAACUCGACCUGCGUGAAGUCGGAAUCGCUAGUAAUCGCGGAUCAGCAUGUCGCGGUGAAUAUUGUUCCCGGGUCUUGUACACACCGCCCGUCACACCAUGGGAGGGGUUUUACUUGAAGUAGUUAGCCUAACCGUAAGGAGGGCGAUUACCACGGUAGAUUCAUGACUGGGGUGAAGUCGUAACAAGGUAG
This 1470-nucleotide ribosomal RNA is filed under the name uncultured Bordetella sp. RNAcentral's name for it is "partial 16S-23S ribosomal RNA intergenic spacer". It matches the Rfam family "Bacterial small subunit ribosomal RNA". Lineage: Bacteria; Pseudomonadati; Pseudomonadota; Betaproteobacteria; Burkholderiales; Alcaligenaceae. The record is from RNAcentral.